Long non-coding RNA from Mytilus californianus (California mussel), 286 nucleotides. RefSeq lists it as uncharacterized. The transcript has 3 exons. The record is from RefSeq and is a predicted model, not a curated record. Lineage: Eukaryota; Metazoa; Mollusca; Bivalvia; Mytilida; Mytilidae.
UGCAUUGUCGCUAUAUCUGCUAGAUUGUGAAGUAAUAUCUAGACAAAAUGAAUAGCAUCCUGUUCAUCACAGCUGUUAGUCUUUCAAUGUUUUCUCUACAUGAUGCUCAGGUUACAGUUUGUGAUGUAUGUUUUUGUUCGACGACUGAAAUAUCGUGUCGAAACAAAAGAUUAGAUGUGAUACCUCAAGGAAUUCCUAUAGACACAAUAUCUUUAGAUCUCAGUCUUAACAAAAUCUCCUCUCUAGAAAAUGGUUCUCUGGAUGGAUUGUCAUCCUUACAAACGUU